This 76-nucleotide transfer RNA is filed under the name Pseudidiomarina taiwanensis. Its description in RNAcentral is "Idiomarina taiwanensis tRNA-Thr". It matches the Rfam family "tRNA". From Rfam's summary of the family: Transfer RNA (tRNA) molecules are approximately 80 nucleotides in length. Their secondary structure includes four short double-helical elements and three loops (D, anti-codon, and T loops). Further hydrogen bonds mediate the characteristic L-shaped molecular structure. tRNAs have two regions of fundamental functional importance: the anti-codon, which is responsible for specific mRNA codon recognition, and the 3' end, to which the tRNAs corresponding amino acid is attached (by aminoacyl-tRNA synthetases). tRNAs cope with the degeneracy of the genetic code in two manners: having more than one tRNA (with a specific anti-codon) for a particular amino acid; and 'wobble' base-pairing, i.e. permitting non-standard base-pairing at the 3rd anti-codon position. Lineage: Bacteria; Pseudomonadati; Pseudomonadota; Gammaproteobacteria; Alteromonadales; Idiomarinaceae. The record is from RNAcentral.
GCCGGCAUAGCUCAGUUGGUAGAGCAACUGAUUUGUAAUCAGUAGGUCGGGAGUUCGACUCUCUCUGCCGGCACCA